This 37-nucleotide non-coding RNA is filed under the name Methanosarcina sp. MTP4. Lineage: Archaea; Methanobacteriati; Methanobacteriota; Methanomicrobia; Methanosarcinales; Methanosarcinaceae. The record is from RNAcentral.
GUCCGCGAGCAAAAUCAACUAAAACAAGGAUUGAAAC